ACAUUCACCAAGGGGAGUCCCGGCAAGGGGCUGAGAGACCGCUGGCGCAAGCAGCGCGGUGACCCUCCGAACCUGAUCCGGAUCAUGCCGGCGAAGGGAUGGCGAUUUUUCCUGCU
RNAcentral lists this non-coding RNA (116 nucleotides) under Aquamicrobium defluvii. Its description in RNAcentral is "TPP sequence". It matches the Rfam family "TPP riboswitch aptamer (THI element)". From Rfam's summary of the family: Vitamin B(1) in its active form thiamin pyrophosphate (TPP) is an essential coenzyme that is synthesised by coupling of pyrimidine and thiazole moieties in bacteria. The previously detected thiamin-regulatory element, thi box was extended, resulting in a new, highly conserved RNA secondary structure, the THI element, which is widely distributed in eubacteria and also occurs in some archaea. Lineage: Bacteria; Pseudomonadati; Pseudomonadota; Alphaproteobacteria; Hyphomicrobiales; Phyllobacteriaceae. The record is from RNAcentral.